RNAcentral lists this long non-coding RNA (322 nucleotides) under Elaeis guineensis (African oil palm). Its description in RNAcentral is "long non-coding RNA (EGUI_LNC019285)". Lineage: Eukaryota; Viridiplantae; Streptophyta; Magnoliopsida; Arecales; Arecaceae. The record is from RNAcentral.
CCCAAAGAUCAUGUUGAUCACCCCUGCAGUUGACUGAUUAUUGAUAGCCUCCUCAGUUUGCGGCUGAGAUCAUCGAUUGGUAGGAGGUUGAGUCGGUUGAUCCCUUCGGCACCUCUCGAGGUAGUCUCAUCGGAUCAGAGUCUCUAUCUCAUCCCUGAGCUGGAUGCAUAGUUCAGUAUCGUGAUCGUGAUCAUGAUGGAACCGACAGUGCUUCCUCCGAUCAUGAUUUCUCGAUGGAGCCUUCAUCGGUGGGGGGUGCCAUAGGUAUUCUGCUCCUUCGAUCUUCAUGAAAAUCUAUGCACAGAGAGCAGAGAGAGGAGUG